Molecule: non-coding RNA, 394 nt
Organism: Trichobilharzia regenti
Lineage: Eukaryota; Metazoa; Platyhelminthes; Trematoda; Strigeidida; Schistosomatidae
Source: Rfam
UCUCCAAAUCAUCCUUCAGAAUAGCUGGCAUUCUAGGUAGUAGACAUUUGUAUUCAGCUAGUUGAAUGAUUGGAGGUACUGUGUAGGAAAUCUCCUCGACCUAUUCUCAAACUUUAAAUCGGUAAGGCGUUUUUUUCUUGAAUGUGAGUGCUAAGUUGGUCUUUUUUGGUAAGAAGAACUAGAGCAAUCGAACGCACCGAACGUACUAUUCAGGUGCCUGAUGUAAAACUUAAAAAAUAUGACAAAAUGUAUUGCUUGAUAUAAAGAGUGGGAAGGUUUCCAAGGGAGUCUAAAAUCUCCAAGGAGUGAACAACAACUCACCUGCUGAAUCAUAUUACCAUUAGAUUGGAUACUGCCCACAACUGCUGCAAGAUUGAUUUAAUCAAGGUGAGGA